This 374-nucleotide ribosomal RNA is filed under the name uncultured bacterium. RNAcentral's name for it is "bacterial SSU rRNA". It matches the Rfam family "Bacterial small subunit ribosomal RNA", at positions 524 to 898 of the family's 1533-position model. The record is from RNAcentral.
GACGAACCGUGCGAACGUUAUUCGGAAUCACUGGGCUUAAAGGGCGCGUAGGCGGGUCAUCAAGUCCGGGGUGAAAGCCCACGGCCCAACCGUGGAAGUGCCUUGGAUACUGAAGACCUCGAGGGGGAUAGGGGCGUGCGGAACUCAGGGUGGAGCGGUGAAAUGCGUAGAUAUCCUGAGGAACACCGGUGGCGAAAGCGGCGCGCUGGAUCCCUUCUGACGCUGAGGCGCGAAAGCCAGGGGAGCAAACGGGAUUAGAUACCCCGGUAGUCCUGGCCCUAAACGUUGGGUACUAGGUAGCGGCCUGUCAUGGGGUCGCUGCCGGAGCAAAAGUGUUAAGUACCCCGCCUGGGGAGUAUGGUCGCAAGGCUGAA